UACGUAGGGUGCAAGCGUUGUCCGGAAUUAUUGGGCGUAAAGAGCUCGUAGGCGGUUCGUCGCGUCGGCUGUGAAAUCCCGAGGCUCAACCUCGGGUCUGCAGUCGAUACGGGCGGACUGGAGUACUGUAGGGGAGACUGGAAUUCCUGGUGUAGCGGUGAAAUGCGCAGAUAUCAGGAGGAACACCGGUGGCGAAGGCGGGUCUCUGGGCAGUUACUGACGCUGAGGAGCGAAAGCGUGGGGAGCAAACAGG
This 253-nucleotide ribosomal RNA is filed under the name uncultured bacterium. Its description in RNAcentral is "partial 16S ribosomal RNA". It matches the Rfam family "Bacterial small subunit ribosomal RNA", at positions 524 to 776 of the family's 1533-position model. The record is from RNAcentral.